Molecule: ribosomal RNA, 574 nt
Filed under: uncultured bacterium
Lineage: Bacteria
Description: bacterial SSU rRNA
Rfam family: Bacterial small subunit ribosomal RNA
Source: RNAcentral
GAUGAACGCUAGCGGCAGGCCUAACACAUGCAAGUCGAGGGGUAGAAUUAGCUUGCUAAUUUGAGACCGGCGCACGGGUGCGUAACGCGUACGCAAUCUGCCUUGUACUGAGGGAUAGCCCAGAGAAAUUUGGAUUAAUACCUCAUAGUAUUAUGAUGUGGCAUCACAUUAUAAUUAAAGUUCCAACGGUACAAGAUGAGCAUGCGUCCCAUUAGUUAGUUGGUAAGGUAACGGCUUACCAAGACGAUGAUGGGUAGGGGUCCUGAGAGGGAGAUCCCCCACACUGGUACUGAGACACGGACCAGACUCCUACGGGAGGCAGCAGUGAGGAAUAUUGGUCAAUGGGCGCAAGCCUGAACCAGCCAUGCCGCGUGCAGGGUGACGGUCCUAUGGAUUGUAAACUGCUUUUAUACGGGAAGAAACACUGCUACGUGUAGCAGCUUGACGGUACCGUAAGAAUAAGGAUCGGCUAACUCCGUGCCAGCAGCCGCGGUAAUACGGAGGAUCCAAGCGUUAUCCGGAAUCAUUGGGUUUAAAGGGUCCGUAGGCGGCUUUAUAAGUCAGUGGUGAAAAG